UCCUACGGGGAGGCAGCAGUGGGGAAUAUUGCACAAUGGGCGAAAGCCUGAUGCAGCGACGCCGCGUGAGGGAUGACGGCCUUCGGGUUGUAAACCUCUUUCAGCAGGGAAGAAGCGAGAGUGACGGUACCUGCAGAAGAAGCGCCGGCUAACUACGUGCCAGCAGCCGCGGUAAUACGUAGGGCGCAAGCGUUGUCCGGAAUUAUUGGGCGUAAAGAGCUCGUAGGCGGCUUGUCGCGUCGGUUGUGAAAACCCGGGGCUUAACCCCGGGUCUGCAGUCGAUACGGGCAGGCUAGAGUUCGGUAGGGGAGAUCGGAAUUCCUGGUGUAGCGGUGAAAUGCGCAGAUAUCAGGAGGAACACCGGUGGCGAAGGCGGAUCUUUGGGCCGAUACUGACGCUGAGGAGCGAAAGCGUGGGGAGCGAACAGGAUUAGAUACCCUGGUAGUCCACGCCGUAAACGGUGGGCACUAGGUGUGGGCAACAUUCCACGUCGUCCGUGCCGCAGCUAACGCAUUAAGCGCCCCGCCUGGGA
This 532-nucleotide ribosomal RNA is filed under the name Streptomyces thermosacchari. RNAcentral describes it as "bacterial SSU rRNA". It matches the Rfam family "Bacterial small subunit ribosomal RNA", at positions 337 to 878 of the family's 1533-position model. The record is from RNAcentral. Lineage: Bacteria; Bacillati; Actinomycetota; Actinomycetes; Kitasatosporales; Streptomycetaceae.